RNAcentral lists this non-coding RNA (108 nucleotides) under Desulforamulus reducens. RNAcentral describes it as "Desulfotomaculum reducens SAM-I sequence". It matches the Rfam family "SAM riboswitch aptamer (S box leader)". Rfam says of the family: The SAM riboswitch is found upstream of a number of genes which code for proteins involved in methionine or cysteine biosynthesis in Gram-positive bacteria. The SAM riboswitch acts at the level of transcription termination control. RNAcentral also lists the same sequence under 1 other name. Lineage: Bacteria; Bacillati; Bacillota; Clostridia; Eubacteriales; Peptococcaceae. The record is from RNAcentral.
UACUUAUCAAGAGUGGUGGAGGGACUGGCCCUAUGAAGCCCGGCAACCGGCCAUUGGAUGGCGGCGGUGCCAACUCCUGCAGGACUUUUAGUUCUUGAGAGAUAAGGU